GUCAAAGGUAAAUAAAAACAAAAAAGUCAGCCGUUCAUAUCGCAUCAUUUUACUUUUCCUUCUGCUGAAUAAUUAAUUUUAGACCUAUUUGUGUUAAUAUUAUCAACUUUUGUGUGAUCGGUGCCAUGACCGCUGCUGACCGAGCCGCUUACAAACUUGUGCUAAACGUUGAUACUUUUAUCCCUGUGCGACGUUCGCUGUACAUCGUGAAAACGGCGGAGAAUGGAAGCGCUGAAAUUGGUACUAGUGGUCAAACAGAGACCGGUAAGCGGAUCGUAUAAAACUACCAAAGGAAUCACGGACUUCAAAAUGCGGAGUGCCAGUUUCAGUCAUGUAAUUCAAUCUCUUCUGCAUUGUACGGCGAUCAUUCUGAGAUGCAAGCAAUAAAUGCAGUAUGAAAUUAGUGACGAAAAAUUUUGAGUGAGAGUUAAAAAUCGUCAAAAGCACUGCAUGAUGAAGCAACAUUCCGUGUUCCACGAAGCAGGUAUUGAUAUUAAGAGGAAUACGGUGGCUGUGGCUAGGACACUGUGCAACCAAACCGAGUGUCGACGAAAACCUCCUAGGAAUGAAGAUGACGAUGGAGGAGUUAAUGUUUCUGCGAAGAACAUCCCAUGGAGUCGUAAACAUUACACGUAUCUAAAAACCGUCGAGCAGGUCAGGUGAAGGAUAUGGAAAUUGCCAGGGAAAUUACUCAUUUUUCCAUCAGGGAUUAUGAUUUGUGAUGUUCAUAUUGCAUAAUUUUUAUGAGGUGAACGAAAUGCAUUGGAAAAAAAAUAAAAUCAGACAUUCGAUUAAUGUAUUUCCCUGUGUACUUUUUUAUUUCGAAUUG
Long non-coding RNA from Armigeres subalbatus, 829 nucleotides. RefSeq lists it as uncharacterized. NCBI's taxonomy places the organism in Eukaryota, Metazoa, Arthropoda, Insecta, Diptera, Culicidae. The record is from RefSeq and is a predicted model, not a curated record. The transcript has 3 exons.